Molecule: long non-coding RNA, 349 nt
Organism: Prosopis cineraria
Lineage: Eukaryota; Viridiplantae; Streptophyta; Magnoliopsida; Fabales; Fabaceae
Exons: 2
Source: RefSeq, a predicted model, not a curated record
GCGUGAGCUUCGGCAGAGAGAGCAUCUGUGAGCCAAAUUCACCGGUGCAGGGUUUUAAGGAGAAGAGCCACGAGUGACACGUGGAGGAGUCCCAGAGGCUUAGUGGUAUAGAUCCACUGUCUCUUUUGGGUAUUUAAUUUAUGAUUUAUAAUGUGUUAUAUUGCCAAUAUUAGGGCUUUUUGUUUAUUGUCAAUUAUAUGAAUAUAUAAAUGUAAUCAUGCCUUUCAAACUAUUUCUAUUUUUAGUACAAUUUGGAUGACUGUAAUUUUAAUAUUUGGUUUACUUUGGAUUGGUUAAAAUGGCAUGAUUAUAAGGCCAAAUAACUGGCUUGUGUUGAAAAUUGACUAAA